Long non-coding RNA from Oenanthe melanoleuca, 964 nucleotides. RefSeq lists it as uncharacterized. The transcript is spliced from 3 exons. NCBI's taxonomy places the organism in Eukaryota, Metazoa, Chordata, Aves, Passeriformes, Muscicapidae. The record is from RefSeq and is a predicted model, not a curated record.
GGGCGGGCGCUUAGGGAGGCGCUGCAGAGAGCGGGGCAGGCGCCGGGAGAGGACGAGGGGCUGCGGGAGUUGCUGAGGCGGCGCAGGGACAGGGGGAUCCCCCCUCAGUUUGGAGGGGUGCCCAAGGUGCUCCCUCCCCAGAAACUCUCCAGGGUCCCUGGAAGUGGCUCCUGUUCCACCGGCCCGUGCCCGCCUGAUCCAGGACGGGCCCCACAGGUCAUGCAGACUAUCCAAGAGCAGCCCUGCCUUCAGCAGGCAGAUCCAUCCUGGAUGCCCGGCUGGACAGAGCGCUGUCAGCCGGGCAAAGAGUUCCUGAGACAGGAAACAAUGAACAAUCCUUGGAGCCUCUGAAACCGUCUGCUGCAAUCUCUCAUCGGCGGCUUUGGGAAAACCAGGAUUUGAACCACUGCAUGUCCUCCUGAGGUGAUCUCGGGGCUAAGGAGACACCUCGGGCUGUGACAUUUGUGCACCCCAAAUGUCCUUUUCAGACCCCAAAUUCUCCUUUUCAUACCCCAAAUCUUGUGCAUCACAAAUUCCUUUUCCUACCCCAAAAUCUCCUUUUCCCAACCCAAAUCCCCUUUUCCCACCCAAAAUCUCCUUUUCCCACCCCAAAUCCUUUCCUGUCCAUCCAAAAUUCCCUUUUCUCACCCAAAAUCUCCUUUUUCAAUCCCAAAUCCCCUUUUCCCACCGAAAUCCUGACCUCAAAUCCUCAAAACCCACCCAAAACCCUCUUUUCCUCCCCCAAAUUUCCUUUUCCAUCCUAAAAUCUCAUUUUUCCAUCCCAAAUCCUUCCCCUUUUACCCCAAAAUCUCCUUUUUCCACUGCAAAUCCGUUUUUUAGAGUCUCCCAGGAGUUUUUGGGGUUUUUCCCAGCAUUGUACCCAGGGUCUCUGCAGACAUUGCACCUGGCGCUGCCCCCACCCCAAAUAAAUCCCAGAUCAACAGCAAUUAAAUCCCAAACCAAC